RNAcentral lists this long non-coding RNA (1296 nucleotides) under Nothobranchius furzeri (turquoise killifish). Its description in RNAcentral is "lncRNA (ENSNFUG00015008266.1)". Lineage: Eukaryota; Metazoa; Chordata; Actinopteri; Cyprinodontiformes; Nothobranchiidae. The record is from RNAcentral.
AUGUGUUUUUAUAUUUAUAGAAUCAUGAAUGUCAGGACGUCCCGCCUCAUCUUCCUGCUGCUGGCAGCACUGACCUCAGCAACUCCACCAGGGAACAGCACUGGACAACGGUUUGUGGUGGUUUUCCCUGAAAACAUCGCCUAUUAUUAUCCCACCAGUUCUCAAAACAAGGUUUGGGUUACAGCGUUACAUAAUGCUACACAGGUCACAGUUGCCAGCCAGACCCAAACGCUGAACUCAGGACAGACAUCCAGCUUUAACACCGAUGUGGAGCUGAAGAAGUUGGAUGUCCCUGGGAGUCAGAUGAACCCACCAUAUGAAGCCUUCAGCGUCUCCAACGACACCGUCCAAGUCACCAGCAACAAAAACAUCAUCGUCCAGGCUUUCAGCAUGAGAAAACUCAGCAUUCAGACCGCUCUGGUCAUCCCUACGGAUAAACUUGGCACGAAAUAUUUCAUCCCACCUGUUCCCCAAAUUCUGGGAACCACCGAUGGACCUGUGACUCCUAACGUGACGGAGAGAGGUCCGUUCAGGGUCAUCAUCGUUAAUUCUCAACAACAAAACACAGUCACAUUUAAAGGUCAAGGUGAGACCAGCGUGACCCUACAGAGUAACCAGGUGGCUCAGAUCUGGGUUCCUAAUGACACGACGAAGCAAGUCGUUGUGUCCCAGUUUCCCGUGGCCGUCCUCUUCAGUCAUCCCUGUGCCAUGAAGUACGGGUGCACCUGUGGGCUGCUGACCGCCGCGUUGCCUCCAGCCAGAGACAGGUCUGUGAAGUUCCCAGUUCCUAUGCUUCUGGCUCAGAACGCAUCUGUACUUCAGUCUGAUAAUAGAUCCAGUUCAGUGGUUCCCUUGAAUCUAAAUUCUACAUUGGUUGAGUCGUCUGGUACGGUGGUCCUGUACCGACCCGGAUUACUCCUCACACUGAUCCCAGAGACCGAGUUUGCUUCCUGCUUUUUGGUCCCCUCGAUGCAGUCCAACAAUGGCUUCAUCAUCAUUGUGGUAAACAAAAACUCCACAUCCGGGAUUCACAUUGGGACAAGCCAACUCCAGAAUCCCAUGUGGCAGGAGCUGGAUGGAACCGAUUACAUCUCCACCAACCUGAGUGUGACUUCAGACACCACCGUCGUCUGGCACGAGUCCUCCACAAUGGCCGUCUACUUUGUGGCAAAUCAGAGUAAUCUCUGGUUUGGAAACCCGGCAGCAGUCAUCAGCUCCACUCCAGGUAGAGGGCAUACCUGUUUCUAUAUUACAUCUGAGACAGAAAUACCCAGGAGAGGUCAGAGGUCAUGGUAG